This 200-nucleotide long non-coding RNA is filed under the name Linum usitatissimum (flax). RNAcentral describes it as "long non-coding RNA (LUSI_LNC003778)". Lineage: Eukaryota; Viridiplantae; Streptophyta; Magnoliopsida; Malpighiales; Linaceae. The record is from RNAcentral.
UAGACAAUAAGAAAAUAUUCGAGUCCACUUAUAUAAAAUUUGAUAUUUACAGUUAAGUCUACGGUAAUUAUGAUCUCCCGAAAAUAAAAGUCAAAUAUUCUACGUUAAGAAAUAUUCUACGUUAAGUCUACGGAUAAUAUCAUCGAAAUUUAAAAAAAAAUUAACUACACCACUAGAGUAUAAAUGGAUUGAAAAAAUAA